GGAGGAUGCGUGCGGGUGACAUACCGCAGUAAGAGUACAGCUUUGCCGAUAUCAGUUAAUUCAUUUCUAAAGCUUGUUUUUUUAGAGCAUACCAGUGUUUUUAGAUUAGCCUUUAGUCAGAAGUCAGCAACAGCUGUUUGUGGAACAGUCAAAUCAACAACCAUCAUGAAGAGUCCCUCUGCUUGGAACUUACACAAUAGCAAUAAUGAUUGUAAAGUAAUGGAUGAUACCUUGAAUACAAGUGUGAACCACAGCUGAGUAAACAAUGCAAGAUACAAAGACACUGUUAAAGGAAGUUCAAAAACAUCUAUAUUCAAACAAAAAUAGCUCUCUGCCUAGCUGCAGUUAUAGUUUUGA
Molecule: long non-coding RNA, 357 nt
Filed under: Apteryx owenii (little spotted kiwi)
Lineage: Eukaryota; Metazoa; Chordata; Aves; Apterygiformes; Apterygidae
Description: lncRNA (ENSAOWG00000009523.1)
Source: RNAcentral